Molecule: ribosomal RNA, 468 nt
Filed under: uncultured bacterium
Lineage: Bacteria
Description: partial 16S ribosomal RNA
Rfam family: Bacterial small subunit ribosomal RNA
Source: RNAcentral
GACGAACGCUGGCGGCGUGCUUAACACAUGCAAGUCGAACGGAAAGGCCCUGCUUUUGUGGGGUGCUCGAGUGGCGAACGGGUGAGUAACACGUGAGUAACCUGCCCUUGACUUUGGGAUAACUUCAGGAAACUGGGGCUAAUACCGGAUAGGAGCUCCUGCUGCUUGGUGGGGGUUGGAAAGUUUCGGCGGUUGGGGAUGGACUCGCGGCUUAUCAGCUUGUUGGUGGGGUAGUGGCUUACCAAGGCUUUGACGGGUAGCCGGCCUGAGAGGGUGACCGGCCACAUUGGAACUGGAAUACGGCCCAGACUCGUACGGUAGGCAGCAGUGGGGAAUAUUGCACAAUGGGCGGAAGCCUAAUGCAGCAACGCCGCGUGCGGGAUGACAGCCUUCGGGUUGUAAACCACUUUCGCCUGUGACGAAGCGUGAAUGACGGUAAUGGGUAAAGAAGCACCGGCUAACUACGUG